GACAUAAAAGCCAGAUACUUCUCAAAGCCUGAGCAUAUUUGUCCAGACGUUUCAUGAUCAGCUGUUUUAGGGAGCGACAUCAUUUGUGUCUUCUAUCGUUAGUUAGACACAGAAAACAUUGUCAAUGGCGUCAGAAAACGAUGGGGAAAUGAGCGGGGACUCUAUGUGUAAGAUACUGAAAGAAGAAGGACUUGGAAAGUGGGACGAAACAUUUAGAAAAAUGUCUGUUAUCAAGCUGCGGGAGCUCAAUGAUGGUGUUCUGACUGAGAUGGGCAUAGAUCCACUUGAGGAUCGUCAGAAAAUCUUGGACAGUAUCUUGAAGAUCUGGCCAGCAGCUCACAAGGUGUUUAAUGAUCCAAUCCACGGACAUAUGGAGUUGCACCCUGUUCUUGUCAAAAUCAUUGACAUGCCUCAGUUCCAGAGAUUAAGAUACAUCAAGCAGCUGGGGGCGGGCUAUUUUGUUUAUCCUGGAGCCUCCCACAACCGCUUUGAACACUCAAUUGGGGUGGGGCACUUAGCAGGUGAGCUUGUGAAAGCUCUGAAGGAAAAGCAGCCAGAUCUCAACAUCAAUGACAGAGACAUCCUUUGUGUUCAGAUCGCUGGGCUAUGCCAUGACCUGGGACAUGGACCCUUUUCCCAUCUGUUUGAUCAAAUGUUCAUCCCCAAAGCAACACGCCCAUCUGGUUCACUAGGUGAAAAAAUGAGAACCUGGAAGCAUGAGGACGCCUCUGAAGAAAUGUUCGACCACCUGGUGGAAUCCAAUGGCUAUCUGCCGGGGAUGAUGGAGGCAUAUGGCCUGAAGCUGUCCGAAGACUUGGACUUCAUCAAGGAGAUGAUUAAACUCCCGGAAGCAAAAAAGAAAUAUAAAGGCCGUCCAGAGGAGAAGUCCUUCCUCUAUGAGAUUGUGGCCAACAAAAGAAACGGCAUUGAUGUGGACAAGUUUGACUACUUUGCCAGGGACUGCCACCACCUGGGCAUCAAGAACAACUUUGACCAUGGCCGCUUCAUAAAGUUUGCCAGGGUGUGUGACGUGGACGAGCAGAAGGGGGACGGGCAGAAGGUGAAAGGGCAGAAGCACAUCUGCACUAGAGACAAGGAGGGGAACAAUCUCUAUGACUUGUUCCACACGAGGUACUCUCUCCACAGAAGAGCCUACCAGCACAACGUGGUUAAGAUCAUAGAGCAUAUGAUCACAGAGGCCUUUUUAAAGGCAGACCAGCACAUCCAGAUUAAAGGCUCAGGAGGGGAGAUGUUCACCCUCUCCACAGCCAUAGCUGACAUGGAGGCCUACACCAAGCUGACAGAUUGUGUAUUUUACAAAAUACUCAACUCCACAGAGGAUACUCUCCAAAAGGCAAGGGAGAUUCUAAAAAACAUCGUCGAUCGUAAACACUACAGGUUUCUGGGUGAAAUCAAGCAUAAAGGAACCCCAACCAAGGAUGAGAUACCUCAGUUGAAAGAGGAACUGGCUGCAGCUCUCCCAUUCCCACGACAGGGAGUUCAGGCUGACGGGCUGACAAAGGAGGACUUUGUCGUUUUGUCUGCUACCAUGGACUAUGGGAGUGGGGCGGAGGACCCCAUCAAUAGUGUGGACUUCUACAGCAAGAAAAACCCUAACCAAACAUUCAAAAUCACCAGAAAAGAGGUCAACAAUGACGACGGAAAUCACAAUCUUAAUCUUUUUUUGUGUGUCCAAGCUUCUCCCAGUGCAGUUCUCUGAGACGCUCUUCAGGGUUUACGGCAAAAAAAUGGAUUCUAAAAGUCUGGAUGCUGCCAGGGGACACUUUGAACAGUUGAAUCCAGUGUGGAGCGACUCUCACGUCACAGAACCUUGAUGAAUCUGAAGUUUUGGAAAAUGGAAGUUAAACCUGAAAAAAUAAAGAAAACACUUCCUGGCACUCCACUGAUUGAAGGUGAUGAGAAAUGUGAUCAAGUGAGUAUGUGACUUAACGACUUAAAAGUGAAUGAGGAUGCAUUAUGCACAAUUGGGCCAUAUAUGCAAUUUUUAGAGCCCUGUUUAAUAUUAUACACUAAUCUAAGUGCAAAUGUGAUCAUUUUAAAUCAGCUUUAAUUAAGAAUCACUGUUUAAUACCAUAUUAUGGCUAAUUGAAAUGUAAUUUUAGGUGUGAUUUAGGGAUUUUAAAUAUUUAGUGGUGUUUGUUUAGGAUAUCCAUCGUGUGAAUUAAUGUGGUAACCUGAUUAGAUAUUCUUUUUAAUUGUAUUCAUGUUUGAUUAAAGAUUGUUUUGGGUGUAUGUCUUUGUUUUUAAUCUAUCAAUACUAAAUCAAUAUAAUUACUAUUACCAUUAUAUAUUACUAUUCAUACUGUGGUUAUACAAUAUAGCUUUCUUCCUUCAAUGUAACCAUCUGUAUGAAUGUGGGUAACUUAGGUUAUAUUUCUGUUUAUGGUCAUGGUGUGAAAAUGUUGUGAUUUGUCAUCAUGUGACUUUUGAGGAAAACCUACAACAAUGUUUCAACUUUGUUGCUGUUGAGGUUGGGUUAAUAAAAAAGUGUUUCUUCUUAAUUUGAAAUCAAUUAAA
Gymnodraco acuticeps is the source of this 2538-nucleotide RNA transcript. It is a transcript of the gene named deoxynucleoside triphosphate triphosphohydrolase SAMHD1-like, with no coding region annotated. The record is from RefSeq and is a predicted model, not a curated record. The transcript has 16 exons. NCBI's taxonomy places the organism in Eukaryota, Metazoa, Chordata, Actinopteri, Perciformes, Bathydraconidae.